GACUAACGCUGGCGGCGUGCCUAAUACAUGCAAGUCGAACGGGAUUCUUUGAUCAGCUUGCUGAGAGAAGGAUCUAGCGGCGGACGGGUGAGUAACGCGUGGGAAUCUGCCUCUUACUGGGGGAUAACAGUGGGAAACUACUGCUAAUACCGCAUAAGAUCUUCGGAUGAAAGGUGCAACUGCACCGGUAAGAGAUGAGCCCGCGUCCCAUUAGCUAGUUGGUGAGGUAAAGGCUCACCAAGGCGACGAUGGGUAGCCGGCCUGAGAGGGUGAACGGCCACACUGGGACUGAGACACGGCCCAGACUCCUACGGGAGGCAGCAGUAGGGAAUCUUCCGCAAUGGGCGCAAGCCUGACGGAGCGACGCCGCGUGAGUGAUGAAGGCCUUCGGGUCGUAAAGCUCUGUUCUUGAGGACGAAUAAGCCAGGGAGUGGAAAGCCCUGGUGAUGACUGUACUCAAGGAGAAAGCUCCGGCUAACUACGUGCCAGCAGCCGCGGUAAUACGUAGGGAGCUAGCGUUGUCCGGAAUUACUGGGUGUAAAGGGCGCGCAGGCGGUUUCAUAAGUCAGGUGUGAAAGCCCGGGGCUCAACUCCGGAUAUGCACUUGAAACUGUGAGACUAGAGUGUGAGAGAGG
RNAcentral lists this ribosomal RNA (635 nucleotides) under uncultured bacterium. RNAcentral's name for it is "bacterial SSU rRNA". It matches the Rfam family "Bacterial small subunit ribosomal RNA", at positions 28 to 657 of the family's 1533-position model. The record is from RNAcentral.